RNAcentral lists this ribosomal RNA (468 nucleotides) under uncultured bacterium. RNAcentral's name for it is "partial 16S ribosomal RNA". It matches the Rfam family "Bacterial small subunit ribosomal RNA", at positions 28 to 507 of the family's 1533-position model. The record is from RNAcentral.
GACGAACGCUGGCGGCGUGCUUAACACAUGCAAGUCGAACGGAAAGGCCCUGCUUUUGUGGGGUGCUCGAGUUGCGAACGGGUGAGUAACACGUGAGUAACCUGCCCUUGACUUUGGGAUAACUUCAGGAAACUGGGGCUAAUCCCGGAUAGGAGCUCCUGCCGCAUGGUGGGGGUUGGAAAGUUUCGGCGGUUGGGGAUGGACUGGCGGCUUAUUAGCUUGUUGGUGGGGUAGUGGAUUACCAAGGCUUUGCCGGGUAGCCGGCCUGGGAGGGGCACAGGCCCCAUUGGGACUGGAAUACGGCACAGACUAGUACCGGAGGCAGCGGUGGAGAAUAUUGCACAGUGGGAGGAGGCCUGAUGCAGCAACGCAGCGUGGGGGAUGACGGGCAUCGGGUAGUGAACCGCUUUCGCCUGUGACGAAGCGUGAGUGACGGUAAUGGGUGAAGAAGCACCGGCUAACUCCGUG